UAUAGAUACCUGCGACAAGGUCACUAUCUCAUACUGUCAGUAUCAUUUAGGAAUAUGUCACUAUCUCAUACUGUCAGUAUCAUUUAGGAAUAUGUAGCCCAAUCAGUAUCGAGGCUAUAGAUACCUGCGACAAGGUCACUAUCUCAUACUGUCAGUAUCAUUUAGGAAUAUGUCACUAUCUCAUACUGUCAGUAUCAUUUAGGAAUAUGUAGCCCAAUCAGUAUCGAGGCUAUUAGAUACCUGCGACAAGGUCACUAUCUCAUACUGUCAGUAUCAUUUAGGAAUAUGUAGCCCAAUCAGUAUCGAGGCUAUUAGUCACCUGCGACAAGGUCACUAUCUCAUACUGUCAGUAUCAUUUAGGAAUAUGUAGCCCAAUCAAGUAUCGAAGCUAUAGAUAUCUGCGGCAAGGAGACUAUCAAAAAUAUACUCUCAGAAUAACUGAGAAAUAAAUAUGUUUCUAAUACAUGAGAAAAUAUUUGCAUGUAGCAUUUCUUACACGUUACGUUUGUGAAGCAGUCGUCUGGUUGAUGGCUGCCAAGGCAACCAAUGCAGCUGCUUUUGUGUAACCAAGACCGUGACGGGCGACUAUGUUUCAAACACACAUCAGGAGAAGUAAUGCCUGAAACACUUCACACACCAUUGCAGCUUCUACUUGGUAAAGAAUUGCAUGUGAAUAUCUACAUAUGGUAUGCUAUCGUUACUUGGGCCAGGAAGACAAGAGUUUUCUCCCUUGAUCUAAGUUGAAAUUGCUGUGGUGUUGUGUCUUCUUGCCAGAGCAGCGAGGCAUGUUGAACUUCAGUUGUCACAAUAUAAGCCGACGUGUUAUCCAUUUGAAAUCCUUGCCAGAAACCUGGGAUCGUUGGAUCGAGACUCAUUUUCUGAUUUAGUUUCUUAGUUUGUAAACACGAAGCCCCUGCUCAAUAGGGUGAUAAACGUGUGUGACCACUUGGAGCUUCCAACACUUCCCACAUUAGGCUGACACUCCGUGAUAUGACAAAACACCGUUUUAGCAUUAAACCCAACUCACUCACUCACUCACUCACUCACUC
Haliotis rubra (blacklip abalone) is the source of this 1049-nucleotide long non-coding RNA. RefSeq lists it as uncharacterized. The record is from RefSeq and is a predicted model, not a curated record. Lineage: Eukaryota; Metazoa; Mollusca; Gastropoda; Lepetellida; Haliotidae. The transcript is spliced from 3 exons.